GAUGAACGCUGGCGGCGUGCCUAAUACAUGCAAGUCGAGCGGACGGACGCGAAGCUUGCUUCUCUGAUGUUAGCGGCGGGCGGGUGAGUCACACGUGGAUAACCUCCCUAUAAGACUGGGAUAACUUCGGGAAACCGUAGCUAAUACCGGAUAAUAUUUUGCACCGCAUGGUUCAAAAGUGAAUGACGGUCUUGCUGUCUCUUAUAGAUGGAUCCGCGCUGCAUUAGCUAGUUGGUAAGGUAACGGCUUACCAAGGCAACGAGGCGUAGCCGACCUGAGAGGGGGGUAGGCCACACUGGAGGGGGAACGCGGACCAGGCUCCUGAGGGAGGGAGCAGAAGGGAAUCGGCCGCAAUGGGGGGAAGCCUGACGGAGCAGCGCCGCGUGUGAUGUGAAGGUCUUGGGAUCGGAAAACUCUGUUAUUAGGGAAGAACAGAUGUGGAAGGAACUGUGCACAGCUUGACGGUACCUAAUCAGAAAGCCACGGCUAACUACGUG
Molecule: ribosomal RNA, 497 nt
Filed under: uncultured bacterium
Lineage: Bacteria
Description: partial 16S ribosomal RNA
Rfam family: Bacterial small subunit ribosomal RNA
Source: RNAcentral